Molecule: long non-coding RNA, 1730 nt
Organism: Coturnix japonica (Japanese quail)
Lineage: Eukaryota; Metazoa; Chordata; Aves; Galliformes; Phasianidae
Source: Ensembl
UUUUGGGGUCAGUUUUGGGGUUGGUUUGGAGAGGUUUGGGGUCACUUAGGGGUCCCUGAUGUUGUUUUGGGGGCCAUUUGGGGUUGGUUUGGAGGGGAUUUGGGGCCAUUUUGGUGGGUUUUGGGGUCACUUAGGGGUCCCUGAUGUCAGUUUUGGGGUUGUUUUGGUGGCUUUUGGGGUCUAUAUGGUGGGUUUUGGGGUCACUUGGGGGCAUUUGAGGUUGUUUGGGGGGGAUUUGGGGUCAUUUUGGGGGGUUUUAGGGUCAGUUUGGUGGGUUUUGGGGUCACUUGUGGGUUUUUGGGGUCAGUUUUGGGGUCGUUUUGGUGGGUUUUGGGGUCAUUUUGUGGGUUUUGGGGUCGUUUUAGUGGUUUUUGGGGUCACUUGGGGGCAUUUGAGGUUGUUUGGGGGGGGGUUGGGGUCGUUUUGGUGGGAUUUGGGGUCAGUUUUGGGGUCGUUUGGUGGGUUUUGGGGUCUCUUGGGGGUCCCUGAUGUCAGUUUUGAGGUCAUAUUGGUGGGUUUUGGGGUCACUUGGGGGCAUUUGAGGUUGUUUGGGGUGGUUUGGAGGGGAUUUGGGGCCAUUUGGGGUUGCUUUGGAGGGGAUUUGGGGUCGUUUUGGUGGGUUUUGGGUCAGUUUUGGGGUCAUUUUGGUGGGUUUUGGGGUCACUUGGGGGUCCAUCAUGUUGAUUUGGGGUCAUUUUGGUGGGUUUUGGGGUCACUUAGGGGUCCCUGAUGUCAGUUUUGGGGUCGUUUUGGUGGGUUUGGAGGUCACUUGGGGGUCCCUGAUGUUUUUGGGGUCAUUUUGGGUCAUUUUGGUGGGUUUUGGGGUCACUCAGGGGUCCCUGAUGUUGGUUUUGGGGGCAUUUUGGUGGGUUUUGGAGUCAUUUUGGUGGGUUUUGGGGUCACUUGGGGGUCCCUGAUGUGGGUUUUGGGGUCGUUUUGGUGGGUUUUGGGGUCACUUGGGGGUCCAUCAUAUUGAUUUGGGGCCAUUUGGGGUUGCUUUGGAGGGGAUUUGGGGUCAUUUUGGUGGGUUUUGGGGUCACUUAGGGGUCCCUGAUGUUGUUUUUGGGGGAUUUGGGGUCAUUUUUUAUAGUGUCAGUGGUUCUGGAUGGUUUGGGACCCCAAUCCCACACUAAUCGGGGCCAUUUGAGGCUCCUAAAAUCCCUUAUUCCAACCCCAAAAGUGGCCUUUUUUAAAAGCCCCAAAAUCACAGUUUUUCUCCCCAAAACCUGCAGGUUGCUCAGCAUCUCCCAUUGAAGGAGGGCAGCACUGAGGUGCCGCUGUUCCGUGUUGGUUGGUCCGUCGACUUCUCUCGUUCCCAACUGGGUAAGAAAAGCCCAAAUCUUCACUUUUUUACCCCAAAAAUGGGACCCCCCCACCCCAAAAGGGAGAAACUUCAACCUACAUCUAUUGGCCCCAUAUAUAGGAUGGGUAUGGUACCAUAAAACCAGCCUUGGGGACACUAAAAUGUUCCCAACUGAGUAAGGAAACCACCCCCAAAUCCCACUUUUUUACCCCAAAAAUGGGACCCCCCCACCCCAAAAGGGAGAAUCCCCAACCUACAUCUAUUGAACCCAUAUAUAGGAUGGGUUUGGUACCACAAAACCAACCCUGUGACCCCAAAAUGUUCCCAACUGAGUAAGAAAACCCCCAAAUCCCCCAUUUUUUACCCCAAAAAUGUGACCCCCCCCACCCCAAAAGCAGGAAACCCCAACCCACAUCUAUUAAACCCA